CCUACGGGAGGCAGCAGUGAGGAAUAUUGGUCAAUGGACGAGAGUCUGAACCAGCCAAGUAGCGUGAAGGAUGACUGCCCUAUGGGUUGUAAACUUCUUUUAUAUGGGAAUAAAACGUUCCCCGUGUGGGAUUUUGUAUGUACCAUAUGAAUAAGGAUCGGCUAACUCCGUGCCAGCAGCCGCGGUAAUACGGAGGAUCCGAGCGUUAUCCGGAUUUAUUGGGUUUAAAGGGAGCGUAGGUGGAUUGUUAAGUCAGUUGUGAAAGUUUGCGGCUCAACCGUAAAAUUGCAGUUGAAACUGGCAGUCUUGAGUACAGUAGAGGUGGGCGGAAUUCGUGGUGUAGCGGUGAAAUGCUUAGAUAUCACGAAGAACUCCGAUUGCGAAGGCAGUUCACUGGACUGCAACUGACACUGAGGCUCGAAAGUGUGGGUAUCAAACAGGAUUAGAUACCCCUGUAGUC
This 460-nucleotide ribosomal RNA is filed under the name uncultured bacterium. Its description in RNAcentral is "partial 16S ribosomal RNA". It matches the Rfam family "Bacterial small subunit ribosomal RNA", at positions 338 to 795 of the family's 1533-position model. The record is from RNAcentral.